GUGUGAGUUCGUUGCGUAGAUGAGCUUGGCGUGACCUUUUCAAUCUCAGUCCUUUUUGAUGUUCUUCUCUAAGUGGAAAUACAGUACUGGACUGGAGAGUGUGCGUAACAGAUGUUUUGUUCAGAGAAAGACAGAGGGUGUGUGUAUGUGCGUGUGUGAAUUUUUGCUUGCGUAUGGAUGUGUAUAUACAGGUGUUUUACUGUGUGUUAACAUCCAUUCAGAACACUUCCAUACACUCUUCACACUGUAGCGUGUCUAGUUCUAAAUACAAAAGGAAGCGGAUCUAGACAUUCAGUGAUGUAAUUGAAGUAUUUUAAGUAUAUGUCUAAUGGUAUGUUCUCACUGCAGUAUACUUAGCAGCUGAAGAUUUUUCAGAUUAAAAAAAAACUGAGAAGGGUGGAGAGUGACAGGAAGAAAGAGCAGGUGAGGAAACAAUGACACAGAGGUGAGUGGAGUGCUAAGAGAGGCUGACGCUUACAAAGAAGAGGAACAAAGGAGUGAAAACAGCGGCUGAGGGAGAUUUGAACUGUCUUUUGCGCAAGAUGAUGGUGAAAGUGCUACUUGUUGUCAUGGUGAUACUGACGGGUGGUCUAAGCUCCGCUCUACCUCUGGAAGCUGAAAGUACAGACUGCAGAGAGUGUCCAGCAGGACAAUACUUGUUAAGUUGUCAUGAGUGUUCUUCAUGUACUGAAGGUUCCUACACAAGCCAGGUGAACAGAGAGAGCACAUGCCAUCCCUGCUUCAAGAACUGCGUGGCAGCGUUUCACAUGCAGGUGGUGAAGGCAUGCAGCAAUGCCUCUGAUGUGGUGUGCCGCUGUAUGGACGGCUUUUUCUGCAGUGAGAAAGAUCGCUACACAGACCACUGCAUCCAGUGUGAACCAAUUCAAACUUCAACCUCACACUCAACUACAGCAUCAACCACUCUGCUGAGUUCUAAACCUAUGCCUAACCCGACCCCGACUCCAUUUGCAGGUAUGACAGACAUUUGGAUUUUAAUUGUUGUGCUACUGAGUGUGCUACUUAUCAUCUUCAUCACACUGCAUCUCUGCCGGCAAUAUAAAAAGGAGUGCCUGAAGAAAUUGGUGAAGCGAUGCUCACCCGGUAGUCAAAAGUUACAGGGGGACAUUGUUACUACAUCUUCUCAAAGAAGUGAGCCGAUCAAACACAUCCAUGCAGAGGAGGUGCACCCACACACAGCUGCAUCCACCUACAGCACCUCAGACUGCCCGACUCCUCAGCCGGUCAGCACAGAGCCGCCUCUACCUGCUGCUGGAAACCUGGGUCCUCUCCACAUAUAUGGUGCAAACACUGUGUUUGUUAGUUUGCUGAACCAGUUUGGACAGAACGCAGGAGAGAAGGAUGACGAGGAUGUCCACCAGCAGAGUUUAAGCGAGAGUGAUAUGCACUGUCCUACUCCACUUCCUCUGUCCACAGAGGAAAGGAACAGAGACAGCAGUUACAUCUCUUUUCCCUCUCAAGAGCAAGGGAAAGAAUGCCACAUGUCCAAAGAAGAAGGAUUGUAAUGGAAGUUUUAGUCCUUUCAGUUUGCUAUACAGGUGCUUUGUGAUUUAUGAGGACUCUACACCACAACUUUGGCUGUGUGCGUCUGCGUAAAGCAGAGCGGCAUGUCCAAAGAUUGGUACACACUCAUAAUGUCACCCCGCUCCAUAGCUGAUCUGAACCUGUCGGCCUGGAUCCCGUCAAAAGGCAGCAUGAAACAGCUGGCAUUUGCAGAUGUGCACACAUUUAUGAAUGUGUGUGUGAGUGUGUAAACAUGUUUCCACACGUGUAUGUGUGAAGAUGUGGAUGAGGCCUUGGCGUUUGUUUCAGUCAUGCUGUUCACAAUCGUAGAUGAAGAUGAUGAAUCUCCAGAAGGCCUGGAUACAGGGCAUAUGGGUGGUAUUGGUUGGUUUUUGGAUGUCUCACAAAAACAUGUUUGAUUGCACAGCGUUUUAAGUGGGUGUCAAACAAAAAACAUGUUAAUUAGCAUUUUAGAUCCUGAAUGAUAUAAUAAUUUGCAGAUGAAAUCUGAUCAUUGGUUUCUCAAUAAAAUUCUGAUUACAAGUAGCUUAUUACAAUGGCAAUGGACACACUGUUUGAAUAUGAGGAAAAUCUAAUUGACCAUUUGUAAAAGUUCCACACCCCUCAGUUACUGUUUAGUUCAUCAAACUGAACAGUUCAGACAGACAAAAAAGCUCAGUAGCACAAAGGAAAAUAUAGACGCACCCAUAGGACUGCAUCUGAAAACAAUUUGCCAUUCAGAAAACGACUUUAUAGGGUGUUCACUAGAUAUAUGCUUGAGGGUUGACAAUAUGAAUGUAUGGCACUUGAAAAAAUAAUAAAAAGGUUCUGGAAACCAUCCUUGCAUUAAUUAAACCAAGUAAAUCUGAAGGUUUCCAUGUCUGAUCUGCACUGGUUCAGGGUAAAAUAGCUAAAAGGGCUACUGCUAAAGCUAAUGCUGCAGCCAGUCAGAGCAAUGAUACAUGCUACAAACAAUAAACGUGAUGUGUGCAAACACAUUAACCCUUUACAUGGCCAUGUCCUGCUGGUGGGCCCAAAGUUUUAUUAUACAAUUCUUUAACCUAAGAACAGAUUUUAAGGGGUGAAUAUUUAUGGUAAAUUGUAAAUGUGUUUACAAUGAGGUCCCGUCUUGUUUAACCUGACUGAUUUCUCAAGCUAACUUUCAGCAGUUAAGAAAAGUGCACUAGUUUGCUAGUUAAUAUUUGCAUUAGACUUCAUAUGAAAAUGCGUAUUAAUAAUAACCCAGGUAAGGUUUGUCUUACCUUAGAGCUGGCAUAAUACUACCUGUUAUUAGUUUUAAUGUUGAGCUGUGAGUGUAGCACUUCAUAAGAGUUUAAUCCCAAAACCUUUUCAUGAAUAAACAGCACCACCCUCUACAUCAGUGAUCACCAACCAUGGCCCUGAGAAUAUACCUUCCUGCAGAAUUUUGUUACAAUCUGCCACACCUGUGUUUUGUCAUGUGUCGUAAGUAUUUUUUAAUUUGUCAGUUUUUGCUGUUUUUUAGAAUUUUAUUUUAUUUAUUUAUUUAUUGCUGUAUAUUUUGGGUUAUCUGAAUUUUAGCCCCUUAAAGCUCAUAUUUUAACAGCAGAAAUUGAUAAUAUAUGUGUGAUUACAGAAACACAAACCUGGAAUUCCUAUGCUUUCCAAGCCUUUUUACAUUCACAAAGCUAGCUUGCAGUUAAAAAAUCAGAGCUUAAACCAGGGAGAUCUUCCUCAGAAGCAAUCAAGUCAAAUCCUUUAAUCUAAGAAAAAGCAGCCCAGUGUAUCCAGGUUUCUAGAGGUUGCCCUGUUGUUCAGUCUGGUACCUGUACCUUCUGCAUCCCCAAGCCUAUUCAAGCCUUAUUCAGACUCACGUGAGAUUACAGAAUUGAGGUGCUGCUUCCUGCAAAUGUAGUAGAAGUAUUUAUUUGAUGCCUUGCACUGUGCAGUUAUUAGUAAAGAGAGCACCAAAAUGUGGUCUAUGUAACUCUUUUUAGAGUAUUUUAUAAGUAGUUUUUGUUUUCAGUUUUAUUUUCAGUACAGUAUUACAUUGUCACCGUCAGAACAAAACCUCAUAUCUCCAAAAACAGUGACUGUACAGGAGAAGGAAAAACAUAUAUUUUAUAUUACAUAUUCUUAUAUUAUAGUGUAAGUUAAUGUAACGAUUUUAUUACAGGUUGGUAAUAAAUGGUCAUUUUGGACUAUUUCUGUUGAUGUAUUCAUCAGAAUGUUUACACAAUGUAAAGUGCAGCUAGUGUUUUUUUAAGCUGUGGAAAAAAAAAUUAAAAAUGGAUCACAUGAUUUUUAUCUGACAGUGACAACAUUGUAAUGUCCAAUUAUUAUUUCAUUUUAUGUUUUAUGUUUCAUUUUAUCAUCUUUCAUCCUCUUGUUAUUUCACAGAAAACAGAAGCUAUUCUGAAAUAGUUUCUCUGGCCCAUAUGAUCCAACUCGUGUAUGUAUUAUUAAUAUUAAUGUGCAAUAGAAAUAAGGACAUGCUUUAUUUCAAUCAUGUUUUUAUGUGGUUUUAUAAGAAGCAAUGCGAAUAAAAUGUUUGUAAUUUUACACAAGAAAAAUUAAUACAGGUGUUCAGAGUACAAAAACGAAAUGAAAGUUAGGAUUAUUUAUGAAGAAAUCAUUCUCAGCAUUUAACAGCAUGUCACAGUGGGGAGCCUGAAGCGGUUCAGUGUAAAUACAGCUUUCUUUUCAUUUAGGCAUUCCAAAAACUUUCCAAUAGUAUCUGAAGCUAAGGUUUAGGCAGGAUUAAAACACGAAAAUCAUUCAUCAUAAAACUGAGAAACAGACAGGCUAGAGCCUGUACUAGAAUAGCUGUAACUAGGAAUCAAGAAGCAUGACUAAAAAUGCAGCAAACAUAAAUGAAAAUUUUUAAAAUGACACAGAGUAGACUUUUUAGAUGCUGAUGGCACCACCCUGAUCACAGGCUGACUAUAAUUACUUCGGUACCUCUGUGGUGCACUAUAUAGGGAGUUUGGAGCCAUCAGAGAUUAAUAGGCACAAACAGUGGGCUGAGGAUUAGUAACCUUCAACUACCAAUAUUCUCACAUCACUUUGAAACUGCAUUGCACAGUGGAUAUUGUACAUACUGUAGAAAGAAUUACAUUUCAUAUAGAUUUCAUGCAUAGCAUCAUUUUAUCCUUAUACUUUCAUGCAUAGCAUGAAAUCGUCUCUGCAGUCUGGUUUGGGUCGUUUCACUCCAUCUUUUUUGUUGUUGUUGUCCUGGGAAACCCCCCACCCAUAUUCUCAUCUGGGUGGUUGGCUGCUAAAAAAAAACAUUUGACACCACUGAAUGUUUUACAAAAAGGUUAAACAUUUCUGAGUUUUGAAGGCACUGACCAGCCAGAACAGCAAAACUGCAGAGCUUUUUAAAGAGUGAAUGUUUGACUGUGUAUGAACACAGCAUUGUUUUUAUUCGCCCACUUUUCUCUCUAUCUGUAGUCAACAUUAAUUAUCAUCUAAUUUCUUACAUUUUCAUGCUAGAAUUUAAUAAAAUAAAAAUUAUGCUGCAUAUCCAUUUAUAUUUUGAAUUUAGAUUUGGAUGAGGUUUCAAAAAAAUUAACAGUUGAAGCACUGAUAUUUCUUUUAUGUGUAAAAAUGAAAAAAGGAAUAAAAAGCCUACAAGCCCCAGAAUGAAGAACAUCAAAACUGAAGAAUUCUCAAAAUUAGGGACCACUUUCAGGAUUUUUUUUUUAAUUAUAUUUGCUGUUGAGAGUGGCCUUUUUCCCCCCAUAUAAGAAUAUCAGUGCUAUAUUAUAUAGACUAAUACCGCCUUUAUUAGAGAAAUUAUACACUGUUCAUUAAAUUUCUCAAAAAGUCAUUACAGCAUCUUGGAAUAAAGCUCUUCAAAUCCAGACUUUGAGCUCCCAGAAAAAACAACAAAAGCAUCUAUUUGUUACCCUUAUAAAAUCUUAUUAAAAUGUCUUACUCAUACACAUGUACAUGUGUAUCUGUAUGUGUGUGCAGUCAAACUCCCUUAAUGAAGAAUGGAUCACAGCCUUUCUCCUUGUUCCUUCCCUCUGAAGAUCACAAUAGAGAGACUGCAUGUGUGUCUCUCACUCUGUUCAUGAGUGCAUGUUACAGUUCAUACUCCACCCACACUCUCAUGUGGAAUCUGUUGCCUCCCUCUCUGCUCAUCCAUCCAUCUCUCUCAGACUUCUUCCUGCCACUCCGUCUUUCCUCCACACACCUCCUGGACCGGCAUUGGCACCUCCUCCUCUUCCGUGCACUGGCUGGAUUCCACUGAGCUCUUCUCGGCGGUCCAAAAACAGCAAACUGUGGGGAAAUCAAGCAGUUGGGUUCAAUCAUGAAACAUUAUCUGACUCUGAGACCAUACUGAAAC
Molecule: long non-coding RNA, 5854 nt
Organism: Pygocentrus nattereri (red-bellied piranha)
Lineage: Eukaryota; Metazoa; Chordata; Actinopteri; Characiformes; Serrasalmidae
Source: Ensembl